AACAGGGAAGUAGCAGUUCUGGAGGAAAUGGAAGAUGUCAUGUUUCAGGUAUGUUCACCGGAAGAGGGGUUACUAUUUUGGCAUGUCCGGUUGGUUCAUGCAACCUUUGCAUCUUCCUCUGGCUGGCACGUCCAGAUUGUACAUUUAGAUGAAAAGAAAGUCCCUUUUUCUUUCUAUAUGGUUGACCCGUGAAUAGUUAUAUUCACAAAUGUAAGAGUUUUCUGAAUUUAUCUUCUCAUUUGCAGUUUUGAUGGGAAUUGCUACAAAUAGUUAUGUUCAUGAAUGUAAGCAUGCGUGUGUGUUUCUAUCCUCUGAUGUCCCAGCAAUUAAAGUCUUCUAAAACAUUUGCUGGGUAUGUUCAGGUUCGCUCUGAUUUAGCUAUGGCUCAAAAAGCAUAACUCAUAUAAUUCUUUAAUGUUGCGAAAGAUGCACAAAUGUAUCAUUUCGUCUUCUGUUGGAUAGAACAAAAGAGAUCGAGAAGUUUAAAGUUUAAAGUUAAAGUUAGUUGUGGAGCUGCAUAGGCAUAUGAAUAAGUUACUGCACGGGUAAUUUGGUUUCUUCUGUGAACUUGAAUACCAUAAGUUUUGGAAAAGUAAAUAUUAAUCAUCUUUGAAUUUGCAAGCCUCAAAAUUAGGGGAAAAGAUCCUAGAUCGAUCUGACCUCCUUGGUGAGGAGGGGAAGAUGGAGGAGGCUCUCGUUCUCGGCACUCGGAUCUCGAUAGGAUCGGCAUCAGCUCCAAUCAUCUGCAAAACACAAAAUAAAGAUCAAGCCUUGGCAACAGAACCACGGGAAACCUGAAAUUCUGUACUGAACAAGAAGAGAUAAGUUGGGGAGAAAUUUAGGUCGCCUGAUUGAUGAGCUCCUGCAUAUGCAUACUGAAUGUUGAGCUUUAUUUCACCGACACUUGGUUCUGAACAUGUGUGCUUUUAAGAAAGUUUGUAUUCUUCUCUAUUUUGAACAGCCCACAAAGAGACUAAAAAAUGGUGAUAUGUUCCUUUCCGUGGUUUAAGAACUCUGGGACUAGGCCCAACUAACAAAUAGCUUCCUCGUCUUAAAAUACAUCUGUGUUCAGCUGUUUUCAGGAGAAAUGUUCGAUCAUUUUCAGAUGAUCAUCAUAUGGUCAGCGAGAUUCAAGGGAACACGCGACCCGAUUAUGCCUUCUAUAAGCAAAGCUGAGUUGUUGAGUUACAAGUGUCCUUUGGUUAAUGGAUGAUUCUCUUUCGCUCGCGGUAGCUUGCUCGAGGCAGACCUGCAAGCCCGAUGGAAAACUAACCGCGUACACCGUGUCGUGGCUUCGAGUUUCAGCGUCGACAUCACCUUUCUCUAACUGGCUUGCUUAGCCAUGGACAGUGAGACCACCCUUCAUUGAUUUCUUGAUCUAUAUCUUUAUUCUAGGCAUUAUGUCUGUGUUGGCUGUACAAUUGUUCAAACUCUAGCCUAGCUAUAGGUUUGUUUGAGGGGGAUUGAGUAGGAGUGUCUCUUUUCUAUAUCUAAAAUGGAUUUAACAUCCAACUUUAGUCAAGAACAAACCAUCAGUAAGGAAGUGUAACCUGGGAGAGGUGUGCAGAAAUCCUUGAGAAAAGAGAUAAUCACUAUGAAUGCUACUUUCCAGUGAUUUCUGGUGAUCCAUUAAUUUUUAUGAGUGAACUCGGAAGUUUUAUGCAUAUUAGAAAGUUGCAUUUCUGAUCCACAUGCUUGCUAAAUGCGUAUUUUUUCUUCCAUUUUUUGCUAGAAAGUAGGGAGCCUAGCACGAUUUACAUAUAUUUUACAUGAACUUCAUGCAACCACCUGCUAUGAAUAUGAGAUGUCACAACAUAGUUACUUUAGUGAGAAGUUACUGAACAUACUUUCUAUAUCUCUGGAUUUGGUUGAAGUGUUUCUGCCGUUAUCCACUCUCUCACUGGGCUUGUUUCUCUCUGCUUCCAUUUUAGUACUUGAGUAACACAUGAGACUGAAUAUUGUACCAUGUUAACUCUUGGAUCCACUCACAACCAGAAGGUGCAGCAAUCUAGAGCAGAAUAAACUCAGUUAAAUCAGCUUAUCUAACAAAGCCCUAUAACAGAACAAAUUAUGCAGAGUCUUGAAAGGAGACAUUCGUGAUGAUUUCUCAGUGAGGCGAUGCACUUGGUGACAAACCGAAUUUACGGGGAGGAGCAGGCGGCGGGGCUAGAGAGAUACUUACCUGGACCCGGACCAUCGCGCGGGAGAGGGUGGAGAGGCUCAUGGCAGCAACAGUGAGGGCACCAAGAGGAGGGAGGGGGCCCGGCGUCGCCGGCGAGCAUGCCGAGUCGAGCGCCUCCUCGAGCACUUCGGCGCCCAGAUUCGAAGAAGGAGCGGGAAAGAGGAGGGGCAUGCUAGUCCCGCGCCUCCACGUCCGCCUCCGACGACACCUAGAGCUGGCGCGAGCAUGCCGAGCUUGAGGGCCUCCUCGGCCACAUCCGUGGCCGGAUUCGACAAGAAGGGGAGGAAGAUCAGUGCCUGCGAAGCUCGCGCAGGCUGUGGUGACAAAGGGGAGGGGCGGCCUCACCUGGGACAGCCGGACAGCCGACUAUGGAGGGAGCUAGCGAUGGGAGAAUGGGGAACAGGGGGAGU
Molecule: long non-coding RNA, 2592 nt
Organism: Triticum dicoccoides
Lineage: Eukaryota; Viridiplantae; Streptophyta; Magnoliopsida; Poales; Poaceae
Exons: 2
Source: RefSeq, a predicted model, not a curated record